This 21-nucleotide microRNA is filed under the name Lotus japonicus. RNAcentral describes it as "lja-miR11109-5p". The record is from miRBase by way of RNAcentral. Lineage: Eukaryota; Viridiplantae; Streptophyta; Magnoliopsida; Fabales; Fabaceae.
UCAUUGAUUGGUUGAAAUUCA